CAAACAUGAAUUGGAAAAAAAAAACUAAAAAAACGGUUUAUAACUCUAGUUUUAUCAUCGUAGCUUUUAUGGUAUCAAGACUAAUAUGAUCGUCAUAAUAUGUAUAUGUAAAACAGUUUAUGAAUGAUGUGAUCAAUAGUUGUGCAAGGAUUGUACAAUUGUUCUUACUCAUGCAUAUUAGUUGUCACUUAGAAUACAUAAUUUUAUAUGUAUAUAUAUCAAAUCUUUAAAUAGAUAGACUCAACUGCUUCUCAUAAUAUUCUUACAACACAAAACCAUUAUUAGAGAGGAUCUCCGAGUACCGCUGUCCACCGCCACCAACACCUAGUCCUCUUCAUUCUUGAUUUGGAGACAUUCAUUGUAGGCACCGCUUUGAUUGGCGUUUACUCCAUAACCCCAUGGUUGGGGAAACUAUAGCCACCUUGAGUUCCUUGAUAAGGACUGUAACCACCAGAAUUCCCAUUAGUCGCUUGAUUUCCUUGAUAGUAACCACCGGAGUUUUUAUAACUGUUUUGAUUCACUUGAUAACCACCGGAGUUUACAUUACCAAUUCCUUGAUAACCGCCAGAACCAGGAGAAUUUCUUUACCGCCGGAGUCGGCAGGAUUUCCUUGAUAACCGACGGACUGGCAGGAUUCCUUGAUAGCCACCGAUGUUUCCAUGAUUGGGGCUAUCAUAACCGGCUAGAUCUCCUUGAUAACCGUCGGAGUAACCCGCUUUAUUGGGUUUUAUUCUUCAUUAUAAUUAUUAGCCCACCACACAAACAUAUUUAACAAUGUCUUAAGUUCCAACAAUCUAUUUUACUAUCAUAACAUAAACUUGAUUAACACUUACUACACAGCAAGCAAUAAUUAAUU
RNAcentral lists this small RNA (856 nucleotides) under Arabidopsis thaliana (thale cress). RNAcentral describes it as "ATSL044810". The record is from RNAcentral. Lineage: Eukaryota; Viridiplantae; Streptophyta; Magnoliopsida; Brassicales; Brassicaceae.